GACGAACGUUGGCGGCGUGCUUAACAUAUGCAAGUCGAACGGUAUGGCCCUGCUUUUGUGGGGUGCUCGAGUGGCGAACGGGUGAGUAACACGUGAGUAACCUUCCCUUGACUUUGGGAUAACUUCAGGAAACUGGGGCUAAUACCGGAUAGGAGCUCCUGCUGCAUGGUGGGGGUUGGAUAGUUUCGGCGGUUGGGGAUGUACUCGCGUCUUAUCAGCUUGUUGGUGGGGUAGUGGCUUACCAAGGCUUUGACGGGUAGCCGGCCUGAGAGGGUGACCGGCCACAUUGGGACUGAGAUACGGCCCAGACUCCUACGGGAGGCAGCAGUGGGGAAUAUUGCACAAUGGGCGGAAGCCUGAUGCAGCAACGCCGCGUGCGGGAUGACGGCCUUCGGGUUGUAAACCGCUUUCGCCUGUGACGAAGCGUGAGUGACGGUAAUGGGUAAAGAAGCACCGGCUAACUACGUG
RNAcentral lists this ribosomal RNA (468 nucleotides) under uncultured bacterium. RNAcentral's name for it is "partial 16S ribosomal RNA". It matches the Rfam family "Bacterial small subunit ribosomal RNA", at positions 28 to 507 of the family's 1533-position model. The record is from RNAcentral.